CAGGAUCGCAGCCUUUGGCAGCUCCUACAGGGUAUUGCGUAUACCUGUAGGAGCUGCCGAAGGCUGCGAUCUUU
Molecule: unclassified non-coding RNA, 74 nt
Filed under: Pseudomonas umsongensis
Lineage: Bacteria; Pseudomonadati; Pseudomonadota; Gammaproteobacteria; Pseudomonadales; Pseudomonadaceae
Source: RNAcentral